This 1445-nucleotide ribosomal RNA is filed under the name uncultured organism. RNAcentral describes it as "16S ribosomal RNA". It matches the Rfam family "Bacterial small subunit ribosomal RNA". The record is from RNAcentral.
AACGCUAGCUACAGGCUUAACACAUGCAAGUCGAGGGGCAGCAUGGUCUUAGCUUGCUAAGGCCGAUGGCGACCGGCGCACGGGUGAGUAACACGUAUCCAACCUGCCGUCUACUCUUGGACAGCCUUCUGAAAGGAAGAUUAAUACAAGAUGGCAUCAUGAGUCCACAUGUUCACAUGAUUAAAGGUAUUCCGGUAGACGAUGGGGAUGCGUUCCAUUAGAUAGUAGGCGGGGUAACGGCCCACCUAGUCUUCGAUGGAUAGGGGUUCUGAGAGGAAGGUCCCCCACAUUGGAACUGAGACACGGUCCAAACUCCUACGGGAGGCAGCAGUGAGGAAUAUUGGUCAAUGGGCGAGAGCCUGAACCAGCCAAGUAGCGUGAAGGAUGACUGCCCUAUGGGUUGUAAACUUCUUUUAUAAAGGAAUAAAGUCGGGUAUGCAUACCCGUUUGCAUGUACUUUAUGAAUAAGGAUCGGCUAACUCCGUGCCAGCAGCCGCGGUAAUACGGAGGAUCCGAGCGUUAUCCGGAUUUAUUGGGUUUAAAGGGAGCGUAGAUGGAUGUUUAAGUCAGUUGUGAAAGUUUGCGGCUCAACCGUAAAAUUGCAGUUGAUACUGGAUAUCUUGAGUGCAGUUGAGGCAGGCGGAAUUCGUGGUGUAGCGGUGAAAUGCUUAGAUAUCACGAAGAACUCCGAUUGCGAAGGCAGCCUGCUAAGCUGCAACUGACAUUGAGGCUCGAAAGUGUGGGUAUCAAACAGGAUUAGAUACCCUGGUAGUCCACACGGUAAACGAUGAAUACUCGCUGUUUGCGAUAUACUGCAAGCGGCCAAGCGAAAGCGUUAAGUAUUCCACCUGGGGAGUACGCCGGCAACGGUGAAACUCAAAGGAAUUGACGGGGGCCCGCACAAGCGGAGGAACAUGUGGUUUAAUUCGAUGAUACGCGAGGAACCUUACCCGGGCUUAAAUUGCAGAUGAAUUACGGUGAAAGCCGUAAGCCGCAAGGCAUCUGUGAAGGUGCUGCAUGGUUGUCGUCAGCUCGUGCCGUGAGGUGUCGGCUUAAGUGCCAUAACGAGCGCAACCCUUGUUGUCAGUUACUAACAGGUUCCGCUGAGGACUCUGACAAGACUGCCAUCGUAAGAUGUGAGGAAGGUGGGGAUGACGUCAAAUCAGCACGGCCCUUACGUCCGGGGCUACACACGUGUUACAAUGGGGGGUACAGAGGGCCGCUACCACGCGAGUGGAUGCCAAUCCCCAAAACCUCUCUCAGUUCGGACUGGAGUCCGCAACCCGACUCCACGAAGCUGGAUUCGCUAGUAAUCGCGCAUCAGCCACGGCGCGGUGAAUACGUUCCCGGGCCUUGUACACACCGCCCGUCAAGCCAUGGGAGCCGGGGGUACCUGAAGUGCGUAACCGCGAGGAGCGCCCUAGGGUAAAACUGGUGACUGGGGC